UACGAAGGGGGCUAGCGUUGUUCGGAAUUACUGGGCGUAAAGCGCACGUAGGCGGAUACUUAAGUCAGGGGUGAAAUCCCGGGGCUCAACCCCGGAACUGCCUUUGAUACUGGGUAUCUCGAGUCCGGAAGAGGUGAGUGGAAUUCCGAGUGUAGAGGUGAAAUUCGUAGAUAUUCGGAGGAACACCAGUGGCGAAGGCGACUCGCUGGACAGACAUUGACGCUGAGGUGCGAAAGCGUGGGGAGCAAACAGG
Molecule: ribosomal RNA, 253 nt
Filed under: uncultured bacterium
Lineage: Bacteria
Description: partial 16S ribosomal RNA
Rfam family: Bacterial small subunit ribosomal RNA
Source: RNAcentral